Molecule: long non-coding RNA, 334 nt
Filed under: Elaeis guineensis (African oil palm)
Lineage: Eukaryota; Viridiplantae; Streptophyta; Magnoliopsida; Arecales; Arecaceae
Description: long non-coding RNA (EGUI_LNC062519)
Source: RNAcentral
GACUAGUUACAGUGAUUCGAUUGUAUACGAAAGGUACAAUCACUUUAUUGACAUUUGAUGUCCCAGAGUAGAGAUGGAGUUGGGCCCAAUAACUAUUAGAUGAGGGUCCCAAUGAUGGUUUUGUAUCUAUUGGUGAAUGAUGGGUCUAACUUAACUAAGAAAUAUACCAAUAACUAUUAGGUGAUGCCACAGGACUUAGAGACCAAACCUACUACAUCUUGCUUAGUAAAGUAAUGGAUAAAGUAUUAUCCACUCAUUGAUCUAUGCUCACUAAUAACUGUUAGGUGAGGUGUGCAUAGAUUAAUGAGACUGCAGUACCCACUUAAAAUCAAUC